UACGAAGGGGGCUAGCGUUUCUCGGAAUUACUGGGCGUAAAGGGCGCGUAGGCGGACCUGUCAGUCAGGCGUGAAAGCCCAGGGCUCAACCCUGGAACUGCGCUUGAUACUGCGGGUCUAGAGUGCCGGAGAGGAUGGUGGAAUUCCCAGUGUAGAGGUGAAAUUCGUAGAUAUUGGGAAGAACACCGGUGGCGAAGGCGGCCAUCUGGACGGCAACUGACGCUGAGGCGCGAAAGCGUGGGGAGCAAACAGG
RNAcentral lists this ribosomal RNA (253 nucleotides) under uncultured bacterium. RNAcentral describes it as "partial 16S ribosomal RNA". It matches the Rfam family "Bacterial small subunit ribosomal RNA", at positions 524 to 776 of the family's 1533-position model. The record is from RNAcentral.